GCCUGGUUAGCUCAGUUGGCAGAGCAUGAGACUCUUAAUCUCAGGGCCAUGGGUUUGAGCCCCACAUUGGGUG
This is a non-coding RNA of Nerophis lumbriciformis (worm pipefish), 73 nucleotides long. Lineage: Eukaryota; Metazoa; Chordata; Actinopteri; Syngnathiformes; Syngnathidae. The record is from the annotation of a RefSeq genome assembly.